Meriones unguiculatus (Mongolian gerbil) is the source of this 9452-nucleotide long non-coding RNA. RefSeq lists it as uncharacterized. The transcript is spliced from 7 exons. The record is from RefSeq and is a predicted model, not a curated record. Lineage: Eukaryota; Metazoa; Chordata; Mammalia; Rodentia; Muridae.
AAACUUGAUUUUCCUUAAGGCCAUUAAGCUAGUGAAACAAGGGCUAGGACCCGGGGUUCUGACUCCCAGUCCAGCCCCCAUUCUCAGAGGUAAUUUACUGGUGGCCUAUAGACCUCUCAUCCUCGCUAUGAAUUCUCCCGACCUGGGCACUGUCUGCUACUUUCCUCUGGCUGAGGAAUCUGUAAAUGUGGUAAACAAGACCUAAAGCUGAAACCUACUGCUGAGAUGAAGGUGGGUAGAACGCACUGACUUGGGGGCACUUUGUUCUUUUUCAACCUACCUAGUAAUGGAGCCUCCUUACGCCCCCUGCCCCAGCAAAUGGUGUGAGCGGGCCAGAGCGUUUCCCCUGUAGCAUGGGCCUGAAUCCUAGCUGCACUGUCACAAGUGCUAGACCUCACAGAAGAGGAUCAUUUGUCUUUCAGCAGGCCUUGUCAACGAGGCCUACAGAUCCCUUUAGGUGAGGCAAGGACUGCUUCCCCCAUUGAGCCAGGGGAUCUUUUGUCUUCUUUAAUGGAGAGCCAGCUUCUUUUCUGUUCCUUCACAGAUUUGGUCCUUGUGGCUUAGGUGUCCUCACUGACCAGCUGUGACUCAGCCUCGGAAAUGUCAGUGGACCCCAAAGGUGGGGUUGGUAUCCUCGGCUUGGUGACUAUAGGAAAUAGUUCAAUAAUAGAAAUCUGUACCAAAAAGUGUCACCCCUAAGUGUGGGGAUGAGUAUUCUUCGUAGGGAACCCCUAUGUCCAGGAAGGCUCCAACCGAUCUGGCCCCUGCCCUGACAUCUUCCAGCAAGGUCUCCAUGGGCAAAAGAGCAGAACUGGGGCCAGUUUGCAGCUAAAGCCCCAGCUGCAGAAGAAAAACAGGGUUCAGCUCCCCAGAUUAGUUACUGUCUGCAAGGAUUAAAGGCCCCAAAUAAUGGCUGGCUUCUCCCCUCCUCUGUGCCAAGGGAAGACAUGUAAACACAGCAGCACGCCAGCUUAGGCAGUCGAUGUGUAUAAAUCGAAUUUAGCAAAUCAGAUCAUGGUUUAAAUGCACUAUUUAAAGCAGUCCUGCAGUGAAGCCUUUUACAAAGGGAAUAAUCAUUUUGUGAUGCUAAUCAUCAGCCUCCAAUUUAUCUCCUUUGUAAGUUCAGAUGUUGGUGCACUGGGUGUUCUGAAAUUGGGGCGCUCUUGUGUAGGGCUCCAGUGACGGCUGUCUGCCUUCCUUUUCUGACCUCUCAUUUUAAAUGGGUGCAUGUCCUGUUUCUCGCUGGGGGCCUCAGGAUGCUUGUCACUUAGCCUGAUAGUUCUCAUCCAUCCCACUCAUCUUUUCAUAAUCUGAUAGAGGCCACCAUUCAGCUGCUCCUGGCUCCUUUUCUGAGAUUUUCGCUCUUCCUGGGGAAGAUGCAAGCCCCGCUGUUCCCAGGCAUUAGCACUAACUCCCUCUCUGAUCUGAACCUUCUUUUGUUUCCCUGAGCUUCUGGUACUUCUGUUGUUGAUCAUAAAGACGAUUUCAGAGAUGACUACAUGACAGUUAAUCAGCCUCUGAAUUUAGAAGGCAAAUUAAAUGCAGGCACCCCCUUAUUGAAUAGGCAGUGUCCAGAAAUGUUCUUUCCAUUCACGGGGGCGGGGGGAACCCUGAGGCCUGGAUGUUAAAGUGACUUUUUCCCACAAGUUAAAAUCAGAGCUCAAAGAAGAACCUGUCUUCUAAUUGCUAUAAAAGUGUUUUACACACUAAGCUGUAGUUCCUUUCUCUGCAGAGAAAAUAAAAUCAGACCAUCUGGGUGGGAGAGAAAGAAUGAAGGAAAAGAGAUGGAUCUGAGUGGAAUAAAGGAAGUAGGCAGGAAGCUAGGGAGCUGUGAAGAGCCUGACCUUGCUUAGCUCACAAGCCCUGAUAUAGUGUCUUUGUCAAUGCUGCCACUAUUGACGCUUUCGUUGGUAAUUAUGACUGUGUGUUGGCAUGGCGACUCAGAGUAAGAAGACUAGAGGCAGUGGGUAAAUGCACGACUUGUUCUCGCCUUCCAAAGCAGAGAGGAGCUUUUGUGGGGAGUUCUUCCAGGGAGACGUGGUGGAAAAUUCAGCAGACCCUGUGCUGGAGCAUGGGUAUUGACACAUCCUGGGAGCCAGGUGGCCGUGAGCAGGAUGGCACAAACAGAAGGCCUCACCAGCACUUGGGUCUGACACAGAGGUCUCCCAGAGUGUCCGUCCAGUUCCUUUCUGUUGUCUUUGUCUCCCAGCCUUGUGAUGCCAAAUGCCAAGAUCCAUUUCUAGUCCUUUCUGGGUUGCCUCUUUCAAAUAGGUUUAUGCUGCAGUCUCUCUAAACUUGAUUGAUCAUACAGUCAUCUACCUAAUAGUCCACGGUUAUGCAUCUGGAGGCUGAAAGGGAAGGCUGGUGGGCCCAUCUGGAAGGAUGGAGUCUGGGGCUUUGAUUUCUACCACUGUGCCCUCUCCAUAGAUUCUUUGGCCAUACAUAGCCUCGUCUGAAAAUGGGGACCUGCUGCUGGAGUCAAGUACUGUACUAUUCUGUCCAGUGUGAUACCCAAUAGACAUAGGUGGCUAAACUCACAAAUGUGGGCAGUAUGGCACAUUCAAAUAAUAUUGGACUAAAUAAAAUAUAUCAUUAAAGUGGCCAGUUUCUUCUGUCUUUGGGCUGAGGCUUCUAUAACAUUUAAGAUUACAUAGGGAAUUCCCCCUCACAUUUCUGCUGGAAAUGGCUGAUCUAAACCAGAGAAUGGAGCCCGCUUAUAGACCUGACACUUAUAACUGAUUGUUCUGGUCUCACCCAGGAGGUGUCUAAUCACUGAGGUCUAUGCAUAGAGCAAGCAUAGUGGGAAAACUAGAUAGCUCAGGCCUAGAAGAGCCUGUUAGGUGGGGAUUGCCCCUCAGUCCCUGAAGGUGGAAAUUGCGGCCUGAAUCUACAGGCAAUAUUGUGCUUUUCAGCAUUUAGGGUGACAGUAACCCUGGAAGAACCUUUAGGUAAAGAGUCAGCAGUGGGUUUGUGUGGGCAGAGCUGGAGCUGACAGAAUCAUUGUUCCAAAAGUGGAACCCACACCUGGCAGUGGUGACUUCAUACUUUCCCAGAGACACAGAAACCACUAAACAAGGAAAGACAGCUGUGUGUCCUAGGUUUGUGUUAAACUCCCUUUUGGCUAGGUUCCUUUGGAAGAUGGCUGGGGCUGCCCAUCUCCUGGCUGCCCCUCCUCCCCUCAACCUCAGCCGAUGUACAAGCUGGAGCUUCUGGGAUGCUCCUUGGCUCAAAGCCAGCAUUUUCUUGGAGAGGCUCCUGCUUUGGCUCCCUGCCAGGCCUCUGGUCUCCAGAGAGAUUUUUUUUUCCAGGAGAGGUGCUAGGCUCAUCCUGCUGUCAGAGGGUAGAGACCUGCUCAGCCUUUUCCCCUUGGAAGACCCCAGGCUGUGGGCCAGCCUUGCCACCAGCCCUGGCCCCUUUCAGAAUAUUCAGUUUCUUACUGGGAAGCCUGGUUUGGGUUAAGAGUGUUUUAGCUUCCACACUCUGAGAUCAUCUGAAAAGCGUCUCCUCACUGGAGCCUGAGAGAUGGGGAAUGGAGAUCACAAUGAGUCAUGGUGAUGGUGGCACAAGCAUUUACCGGGCACCUGCACUGUGUACCAGGUUCUGGGCUGAUCUCUGAGACCUGGCUCAGAGGAGUAGAUAUAGCCCAGGGUCUACCCUUUUCUUAGCCAAGUGUCGUAUCAAGGGUUGCAUGAGGUAUGUCACAGACGCUGUGGCUCUUGGGAACUGUCUCAGUUCUCAUAAGGUCCUUGUCUCCCAAGGAAUCUGCUGGGUCUUGGGAAGCAGCAUGGGGGUUGUUUGGGCUUUGAGAUGUCUCUGCAGCAUCUCCUGAUUCAGGCAGGCAAUAUGGCUGAGUAACGCAGAUGGGAGAGCUGGGUGCUAGGCCCCCAGGAACCCCAGGAAGGAACUAGAGAGGUGAGAAACAUCUCACCUAGCCCUGACUUCUCUUGAUGUUGUCUGAAGCCAAAGCCUUGUUAUGCUUCAGCUUAUAAAAGUCAUGGUGGUGCUAGGACAGCCAGAGACAAACGGAGAAACCCUAUCUCAAACAAAUAAAAUAAAACAAAAUAAAAUAAACCAGGGUGCCCCAACUCCACCAGCUCCAAUUGCGAGAGACUGGCUGCUCAGAGUGAAUGUGGGUCUUGCUUUCUGUUCCUAAAAGUGGGAUACAGUGCUAUAGGGGAAGGAUAGGGCCUGUGUCCUCUGUCCAACAUUUUGUUUGUUUUGUUUUUUUCUUUUCUAAGACUUGUGCAUUUUGUGGGGCAGGGUGUGGUGUAUGUAUAUAUGCCAUGUGUGUGCAGGUACCUGCAGAGCCCAGAAGAGGGUUUCAGGUCCCCUGGAAAUAGAAUUACAAGUGUUGUAAGCUUGCCCAACAAGAGUCUGCAGAUCUAGAUUUGGGUCUCUGGAGGAGCAAAAAAGCACUCUUAAUCUCUGAGCUGUCUUUCUAGCUCUCACUCUUGUUUUCUUGAGCAAAGAAUGCCAGGCCUCCCUUCUGUCUGCCAGUUUGACAACCUAAAAACCUGCUGGUUAGGAGAGCAGCCAUCAUCUCUGAGAGUGUCAUUUCACUCCCACGUGCUAUGGGAAGGUAAAGAAAGGGAGAAGGUCAUCCUUACGAGCCUGCAACUUCUGGUACCCCCGUUUUACUUAAAUACAUACUAACAUUUAUGUCUGUUUAUGUGUAUAGUGUGUGUGUGUGUGUGUGUGUGUGUGUGUGUCAGAGGACAACAGGAGCUAGUUCUCCCUACUGUGUGAGCCUGCUGAUCAAACUCAGGUUAUCAGGCUUGGCAGCCUCCCUGUGUGACCACGCCAAUUUCUCUAUUCCAUUUCAGCUGCCACUUCUCCCUUCUGUUAGAGCACAGCAGCGAGGCAGAAGCCACAAGGCUUGAUGGGACCCAGGUUCGGGGCCUUUCUGAUCUAGUUCAGAAACCAUGGGCAUCGACUCUUCCUCUGUGUUAGCUACUGUUCUCAUCUGUGGAUCUGGGAAUAGCACUCAAGAACUAUCAGGGCCCCAGUUCAAUCCCUGAGUCUGAGAAAGAAGGAGAGAAAGGAAAGAGAAGAUGAGACGAGAAAGGAGAAGGUGAAAAGAGAGAAACAGCGAUAUAUAGAGAAGAACAAUAUUAAUAUGUAUCUCAUCCUGAUGUCGUGUUUCACAGUUGUCAUGAAUAAAAUCCCUGGAAGAUGGCAAGCAGGGGACCAAGCUUAGCUCUCUGUCAGUGACACUGCACAAGUCAUUGUGUCUCCUGAUUGUCCAUGAGCUCCAUAGUAUUGAAAGAAUUCUGACCUGCUCCCUGCUAUAGAUCAGAGAGAAUACCUUGGACAGUCUUAGCAGGCAUAUCUACAGGGGUAUAUGAACACACAUACAGGGGUAUAUGAUUUAACUUGGGUCCAAGAAGUAAAGAAAAGAGGAUUUUUUUUUCUGGAGUUAGAAAUACCAGAGAAGGCUUCCUAUGCCCAAACUUGUCUUUUAAGUCACCAAGAGGGCAGGAUAGGGCAACCAUGUCAGAGGGUAAUAUUCUCUGGCCAAAGGUUCAGAAGUGUGGUGCUGGACAGGGCUUGAGAUUUAGGUAUGGAACAUCAAAUCAGAUGGUGGGAGCUGAGAAUAACUAGGCAGGGAGCCAGCUAAAGAAACUGGUCUGGUCACCAUGGGUACAACAUGGAUGAGAUGGGGCCUGUCAGGCCUUGUGCCACCUAGGCCAGCUGGAGCUGAGCAGGCAUCCCCACUCUGUGCCCAUCACCUCAUCACACUUGGCUUAGACUCUGGUCGCUCAUGGAGCCAUUUCCAAGUUUGCAAGUAAACUAUGGCGCUCAGAAAUUGGACACCUUCCCAUGGCACAUUAUUUUUUUUCCUACCACAAUCAUUUAUUCAUUCAACAUUUAUCGACCGCCCAUUAUGUGUCAAGAUAGGCCUUGGGGACAUGGAGGAAACCACAGCCCUCUACUGAGCCCUACAGUUCUUGUAAUAUGGACUUUCACAUAUCCAUCCACAACAGGAAGGUCAGGCUGAGGGGAGAGAGAGCUGAGUUAGCAGACACGGGAUGUGACAGUUUUCAUCAGUCUGUGGCACCUUGCCUCCACUAGUCCCCUCCAUUCUUCAAGGACCUACAAGAGCCAGGUCAGAGGCCAUUCCAUGUUUUGCCCACGGUGACCGCCGGCUGUCGCUUGAUUCAGCUAGACGUUAAUCCUCUAGAUCCCACUGGUUCUGUAGUUUUCUCUUCUCCAUUUAAAACAAACUGGAUGUUAAGAAUCAGAAUAGCAAUAGCUUGUUGAGAUUUGUGUGUGAAACUAGUAGGAAACAUCUUAAGUGCAAUUAAAUAAUAAAUGACACCCGGAGUGAUUCACAGAUAGGCGUUUCCUUCUCCUUAGGCACCAGAAGCUGCUGGGGCACCAGGCUCAGAAUCCAGUCCCAGUUCUCCUCAGGCUGGAUCCCGAGCACGGUGGCAGUUAGGCCUGCAUGUGAACUGACAGUGUCAAGCGCUGGGCCACCACCUUCCCACAAAGCUGGAUUGUGGCCCAGCCCUGCAAAUGAAUCCUCAUCCCCAGCCCUCUAUCCCUGAUUAGGGGCUUUUUCUAGCCCUUGCCUUCCGAGGACAGGAAAGACAAAUGGGUUUCUUCUCAUUACUACUAUUCUGGUGGACUUGUUACUGGGGUGUGUGUGUGUGUGUGUGUGUGUGUGUGUGUGUGUGUGUGUGUGUAGAUAAAGCUCUUAGGUAGUGUAGGGUAGUUAUAAAAGCACAUAGGAGAGUCCAUGCCACUUCUGGCUGCAUGGAAGUGCUCUUUAAAUCUUUGACUGAUUGAGCCACCAAAGACUAGAGCACAUGUCCUGACCUCAGGUUCGUAUAUACUGUCCAGCUGUUGCUGGUGGGCAAGGUAGGCAUACAUGAGAUAGGCUUUCUUCUGAGUGCACAUGAGCAGCAGAUGGUGCUGGAUUUUUCCUGAAACUUCUGUCUUUCAUUUAGGAAACCCAGAGACCAAGGAGGAUGCUUUCCUGGGAAGAUAGCAUAUGCACACUGAACAACAGGGCAAGGGGAUAUGCUCCAGGGUCAGAAGAAGAGAAAAGAGAAAAAGUGGCUUGGUGGUGACUGAAAGAUGGGAAGGAAGAGAAAAUGAAAUGUUGCCUGAAGACAAUGGCCGAGACAGCCCGUCCCACCCCGCACAGCCGCCAGUGCCUCUGUCCCUAACCGUGUCUCCUCUGUGAGUCUGCGAAGCCUGAGACAUGGUGUGAUGUACCCUGCUCUGGAGCAGGCAGCUGCUCAGAGACCCACAGGGAGUUCUGUGAUUGGCCUCAGAUGGCCUUGAGGAUAACAGGUGUCUAUUCAUCAAGCACACAAACCUCCCUCAGGGCAGUUCCUGACAAGAUGGCAGAAUCCGUGAUCCCAGGGUCUCUGUUGCUCUCACCAGAUCAGGUCUGCCUCCUGUGGGGCAUACCCUCUCAGAUCCAAGCUCCAGGCACCAUGCUGGCUGAAAACCUGGCCCUGUCUCUCUCCAGUGCAGAUGAGCUUCUCCUUGAUCUCUCGCCUUCCCUGGGCGAGAGCACUUCGGGCCAAGGAGUAGAGGCCCCUCAUUCUGAGCCACUUCCUCAUGCCUCCACUGUUUCUCUAUGGGAGGGUCCAAGGUGGCCUAGUAAAGAAGCCUAGUAAAGAUCACAAGAAGACCGGCCCCACACAACCGGAAGUCAGAGGCUUGGCCCAUCAGCCUGCCUCUUUCCUCCUUGGACCUGGAAAAGGAACACUGGAUAUGAAGCUGUCUGCAUCACUCAGCCCCUACUUUUCAUAAUUUGGGAUUUUUUAUUUUUCUGCUUUGUUACCUAUGAGUCACCCUAGCUCUUGCUCCCUGACUUUCAGAAAACUCAACCAGCCUUUUCUCCUCCAAGCUGCCCUGGGACAGAGAUAGACACCUCUACCUAAAGCCUACAAAGAAAUCACCAACCAACCAAAGCACCAGAAGCUUACCUCACUGCUGACCGGCAACUUAGACUGGGAAGUGGCCUGUCCCGGAGCAAAGACCUGGGCCAGACAGCAUAAGUUUUGGCUAGGUUGUCUGUGAAGGGAAGUGAUGGGACAGGCUGUGUUCCGCUUUUAUGGAAACAGACAGAGGAGUGGUAACUCCUGCCAAGGUCACAGGAUGAACACAGAGCCAAGAACCAGAACCAGAAGAGUGGAGCAGGAAAGGAAAAUGCAGUGACUACCAUCCUGAGGCUGCAGUACAGGAAACAAUCCUGCCACCGGGAAUUUGGCAGGGGACCAGCAGACUGCUCCACAACCCUGCUAGAGGGUCUUUGUCCUUGGCCUGCUGGCCUCCUCCAUUCCUGCCUCCUCUGUUCCACACCUUUCAGGCCUGUUCUGGGUCUGAUGUGUUGUGGAACACUCUGUCCAGGCGCUUGGGAAAUGGAAACACCACUGCAGACAUUUCCACCCCAAAGAACUAGGCAGCACACUGGGAAGGUGCCCAAGGAAGGGACUCCAGCCUCCCAGGAGUUAACAGCACUUUUCCCCAGCUGUCCUCCCCUUGGUGCUCCUUUUCCUCCCUCCUUCUGCUCACAGCAGGCAGGGCCUGGAACCAGGAGCCAUGCUGCUGUGCUGUUGCCAGGGGAGCUGGGAGGCAGAUUGGAGCUAUGCAGGGAAAAGGCUCGGCCUGUCAAAGUGUCUGAGAUGAACCACCGCCAUCCCUGUGCAGCUGGGCUCAGAUGUGUCUCCGGCUCUUGUUCUAUGCCUGAGAACAGUAAAGCCCAGUGAGGUUCAAGGGCACACUGGCUAUUCAUUAGUCAGGGGUUCUUGACGUCCUGUCUCUCCCAGGGAUGGGUUCCCCCCUUCCUCUUUCCCUCCUGUGGCACAUUCCUGGGUGCACACCCCCUCCUGCACAGCCCCCUCCACACAAACCCUGAAUCAACUCCUGUUAGGGAGAGCAGGCGGGACAGAGACAAUGGCUUCGAGAAGCCAUUCAGGCAGGACGCCAGCCACGUUCGCCUGCCCUCCAUUCCCAGUACACCUAUACAUCCCACUCUGCUGUGACUCGGGGAACCCUUGGGCCCCCAGCUUGCACAUGCCUGGACAGGAGCAGGCCACUAGGUGCUGCCCUACAACACAGGGCAGUGCUGUUCUCAGCGGGCCCCUUGGCGCCUCUGUCCUGCUGGCUGGAAAUUUUUGUGCAGUUCGUUAGAGAGUAGAAACUGUAUAAUCUUUUCUGAAAUGUGGUCACGUCAAAAAUGUAAAAGACGCAUAUACUUGAUUGCUAUUUCAUGACUAGGAAUUUACUCCAGAUAUACUGGAAAAGUUUGCUCAGAAGCGUGGGCAAAGGACUGCGGUUGAACUGACAGGUUGUUUCAUACUAUGGAAUACUACACAGCUGUAAAAGGGCGGUAGAUCUCUGCACGAGGGCUAAUAUGGAAGGCUGCUAAUAUACUUAAGUGAAUAGAAUAAAUCACAGAACAGUCAAGUGUGUUCUUCUUUGUAUACAUUUAA